AGGUUAAAUAUGUUAAAUGUUGGAAGCAUUGGGAAACAUAUAGUGGGAGAUAUUAAAAGGUGAUUCAAGUAAUGCAGUAAAAUGGUUCAGAAUGUUUUAAUGUUGGUUGCUUUAAGGUACGAUGCUUGUAGACUGUGUUGGUAGGUUUAAAGGACAAGGCCUUAUGGUCUGUAGGAGGUUGGUAAUGACAUGUUAUAAUGAUGAAAUGGUAUAAUGUUGAAGGGUUUUAAAAAUGUUGAAUGUUUAGGAAGUAAUGGGAAGAAUAGGUUCGAGUGGGAUUAUAAUUGAGAAGGGAAUGUUAAUGUUUAAAAAUGAAUGUUUAGAAAUAAAUGUUUUAAAAGUUAAUGAUAAUGGAGUGUACUGAGGGUGCUAUCUUGCUUUGGGAAUCCCCCGGUCAGAGCAGCCAGGAGGAGGCAUCCUGUCUAGACGUCCUGCCUAUGUGAGGAAAGAUGGGGGUUAGUGGGUGCUGAAAGAGCACCUUUUGAGUGUUAGCCACAAUGAGUUAACAGAAAGGAAGAUGGAGGGUAUAAAGGAGGCAUCAUUCUGGAGAAGGGUACGACUCUCUAUUAGCUUCAACAACCUGUGGACUGAUGGAAGAAGAUUUCUGCUGUAGCUUUUUAGCUUGAAAUGUAUUUUUAUAUAUAUUAAACUCAUAUUUAGAUUUAUAUUAUACUCAUAUUUAGAUUUGUAUUAUACUCAUAUUUAGAUUUAUAUUAUACUCAUAUUUAGAUUUAUAGCUUGAAAUACAUUCCGUUUUUUAUUAUUCUCAUAUUUAGAUUUGUAUUAUUCUCAGUUAAAGUAAAAUUCUAGGAGGGAUCCUUAAGGUUUCCUCAAUGAUAGAAGUGUGUUAAAGUAGCUGGUAGAGUUUUUAGACGCCAACUGAGGGACUGAUCAUCCUGAGGGGGGAGAUAAAAAACAGUAUAUAAAGUUGUAGAAGGUAAGAACCUGUUUUUCUAUGUAUUAAUUACUGUGCUUCUCAUAAAGUUGUAAAAAUACAAAACAUAUUGUAUUGGCAAUAAGGGUAUAGUUAAGGGCGUUGAAGGUGUCUAUCAAUUUAAUUUACUGUUGAUGUUGCUUAUCAUUGAUUGGCGAUGUUAAUUUGUGAUUGACUGAUUGAUCUGGAAUAUUUUAUCCAUGUUUCUGGAAUGUUGAAUAAAGUUGCUUUAUUGUUCUGAAA
Molecule: non-coding RNA, 1177 nt
Organism: Salmo salar (Atlantic salmon)
Lineage: Eukaryota; Metazoa; Chordata; Actinopteri; Salmoniformes; Salmonidae
Source: RefSeq, a predicted model, not a curated record